UAGGGAAUCUUCGGCAAUGGACGAAAGUCUGACCGAGCCACGCCGCGUGAGUGAAGAAGGUUUUCGGAUCGUAAAACUCUGUUGUUAGAGAAGAACAAGGACGUUAGUAACUGAACGUCCCCUGACGGUAUCUAACCAGAAAGCCACGGCUAACUACGUGCCAGCAGCCGCGGUAAUACGUAGGUGGCAAGCGUUGUCCGGAUUUAUUGGGCGUAAAGCGAGCGCAGGCGGUUUCUUAAGUCUGAUGUGAAAGCCCCCGGCUCAACCGGGGAGGGUCAUUGGAAACUGGGAGACUUGAGUGCAGAAGAGGGGAGUGGAAUUCCAUGUGUAGCGGUGAAAUGCGUAGAUAUAUGGAGGAACACCAGUGGCGAAGGCGGCUCUCUGGUCUGUAACUGACGCUGAGGAUCGAAAGCGUGGGGAGCAAACAGG
Molecule: ribosomal RNA, 429 nt
Filed under: Gemmatimonadota bacterium
Lineage: Bacteria; Pseudomonadati; Gemmatimonadota
Description: Gemmatimonadetes bacterium partial 16S ribosomal RNA
Rfam family: Bacterial small subunit ribosomal RNA
Source: RNAcentral